UGGGCGGUGCCGCGGCCUCGGCCCGCGCGGACCCGCCUCACUGGACCCGCCCCCGACAGGACCCGCCCCACAGGCCCAAGGAGUGGGGCUGACCCCCCGCCCAGGGGACCCCUCGCCCCACGCUGGCGAGCGCGCGUCUCCCCGGGCUGCGUGGCCUCAGUGGCGCCCGGCGUGCGUCCACGCGCGGCCCGACCAAGACCGGCGCCGAACCCCAGUGUCCAGCCACCUGGUGGCAUCACACGCAGACGUCCACGCAGCUUGUGAUGAGCUCAGCGGAAACCAACUGUGAGGACAGGCCGCCCCGCGGCGGCGAGGAGCUCCAGAUGGGCUGCGUCCCCGGACGCCCGGGCACAGCUCUCGCCUCGGCCCUCCAGGCCCUGCAGCUCAGAGCACGGAGGGGACAGACAGCGUCGUUUCCAGGUGGGAAGAGCAUGAGCUUGGAGCCCUCCGGCUGCAUUUGUCAGAUCUGAAAAGCAUGAGUGCCCGUCAGUGCGGGACUUCAAUAACAUCCUGAUGGACCCACGAAAUGCACAUUCACAGCCAUUAACAGCAGACACACCUCGAAGGCAGUUGGGAGCCCUCGUGGUCUCUGACCUGCUCUGACCCUCGCCCGACCCGACCGCAGUCCAUCUGUAGAGACCAGGCGCCGCUCCAGCAGUUGAGAGGCCGGAAAGGUGUUUGGAGGCCCCCGGGGUCCCUGACCUUCUCUGGCCCUCACCUGCCCAGCUCCAUCUCUCCUGCCCCGUCCCUGGGUGCAUUUCCAUCGAGGAGGCACAUCUCCCAGCAGCAAGAGGUCAGAUGGGAGCCCCUCUGCAGCCGGCAGCCACCCUCUCCUUUGCUCAGCGCCCAAGGCCAGGAUCGCAGCUCACUGCGCAGCUCAGCACUUCGCCUGGGCCUCCUGGCCCCCUGCUUGCCCCUCAUCACCUCACUGUGACAGGAUUUCCCAGGCGGCUCGGAGGGGAGUCUGGAAGCGGAACGUCGCACAUGGAGAAGCCGGAGACCCUGCUGGCCCUGGAACGAGCAGAAAUAACAGCCAAACACAAGUAGGUGAGACCCCGGCAGACGGUGAACACGAAGAGCAGGUGCAGCCCAGGCAGGUAUCAGAGCCAAGGACAGGCAGGUGAGGCCCGGCGGGGAUCAGAGCAGGUAGAUCAGGUGAGGCCCAAGUGGGUAUCGUCACCAGUCGGAGCAGGUACAGCCCCGGUAAGGAUCGUAGUCACCAGCAGCAGGUGAGGCCCAGGUGGGGAAGCACAGGUGGGGAAGCACAGCCAGCAGAAGCAGAUAUGUCCCUGGUGGGAUCAGAGCCAAGGAGGGGCGGGUGAGGCCCAGGUGGGGCCCAUUGCCAGGUAUGCGCAGGUGCGGCCCAGUGGGAGCCACAGCAGCAGGAACAGUUAUGUUCCAGGCGGGGAUCCCGGCCAAGGCUGAGAAGGCGGAACCCAGGUGGGUAUCCUCACCCGGAGGGGCGGGUAUGGCCUGGGUGGCGGUCACAGCCAGUGGGACCAGGUGGCCCAGGCAGGAUCCUAGCCAGGUACGAGCAGCUCCCACUCGGGCAGGUGGGUCUCGUGCUGUGCUCCUGGGACGCAGGGCAGGGGAGGUGUCCUGCCCCUCCUUUGGCCACACCUCUGGCCUCUGUGGGUUUCAGGGCCAGGCAGGGGCUCCAGUGGAACCCGGGGAAGAUGCUGACCGCUCGCUGUACAAAGUUGCCGACAGGCUACGUUUUCUGCCAUGAGGCAUCAGGAUGCCCCUCCUUCCCAUCUCGGGGCAGGUUUCCUUUUGCAGAAAGACCUCUCUGGAGGCGGGACCCAUCGCCCCAGCUCAGGGCCUCGACCCCUGGUGGCCACGGCGGGUCAGGGUCUGCACUGGGCUGGAGCUGAGAGGACUCGGGGAGGCGGCGGGGGCAGGGCUGGGCGCUGGUCCAGGCCUGGGCCUCAGCCGCGUGGCCUCCAUGCCUGGCCCUGGCCUCUGCCUCCGAGGUCAGAGGGAGGCUCAGCCUGGUUAGCAGACUCUGCAGAGCGUGGCCACAGGGUGAGGCGCGCCUGGCCCACAGGUCUCCGAGGCUCUGGCCCAGAGGACAGUGAGAGGUGUGGCCUCAGGCGCUGGAGGGACGGGCAGGGGGAGCAGGCAGGACCGGCCUCAGAAGCUCACGGGAAGGAGACAGACGCAGGUGGAGUUUGCAGCUGAAGACGACCUGACCCCUCGGUCUGGGGCUGGGAGGAGACUCGGGGUAGAAGGCCGGGCCGGGCCACGGUGGGGGAGAGAGGAGAAGACGUGCAUGUACCUGGACGGAGCUGGUCUGCAGCAGGGCUAAGGGUGCUGGGCUCCUGGACGGAGGCGUCCACUCUGGAGCAGGGUGAGGCCCUGGGGAGCGACUCACCUGGACGGUGGCGUCCACUCUGGAGCAGGGUGAGGCCCUGGGGAGUGACUCACCUGGACGGAGGCAUCCACUCUGGAGCAGGUCAGGGGAGCUGCGUAGCCUCAGCACCCAGGGCCUCAGCAUCAGCGGCUGCAGCACCCACUCAGCGAGGCAAAAAGCCCAGGAGAUCGGGCGAGCUGACAAGUGGGUGAAGAUGCUGAGGGAUUGGAGUAAAUACCAGGGUGGCGAGAAGGUAGCAAGCUGAGCAUCCUGACCCUGAAGGGUGCUGGGCUGGGUGCCCCACAAGGCCCGGGGAGAGUCUGAUGCCAGGGCCGCAGCCAGCCCAGCCGGGGACCCCGCAGGAAGGGAGCAGCGGGGCCACGGCCCGCUCUUACUUGCGGCAGACCCAGCCCCUCCGGAGCAUCCUCCAGACGCCUCUCGCUCUCUCACCUCCUUGGCAUCCCCUGCACCUGUCUCACAGCUGGCUUCUCUCCCGGAGAUGCGCCGGCGGGUCUACAAAGGAAUCCCCCCACAGGUGCAAGGUCAGGUACGGUCUCUGCUGUUGGACAUGGAGAAGGUGAAGGUGGAGAACAAAGGGAAAUACCAGGGCUUCCCUGGUGGCGCAGUGGUUAAGAAUCCGCCUGCCAAUGCAGGGGGCAUGGGUUCAAGCCCUGGUCCGGGAAGAUCCCACAUGCUGUGGAGCAACUAAGCGCGUGCGCCACAGCCACUGAACCUGCACUCUAGAGCCGCGAGCCACAACUACUGAGCCUGCAUGCCACAACUACUAAAGCCCGUGCGCCUACAGCCCGUGCUCCACAAGAGAAGCCACUGCAACAAGGACCCGCGCACCACAACGAAGAGUAGACCCCGCUCGCCACAGCUAGAGAAAGCCUGCACGCAGCAACGAAGACCCAGUGCAGCCAAAAAUAAAUAAAUAAGUUUUUUUUUUUUUUUAAAGGGACGACCAGGUAUGGCCCCUCCACCUGUGCGGGGGCCGCACCAACAGGCCAGGACAUCAGGAGCUUGGGGGGCUGGGCCUCAGGGACCCCUUGCCCAUCCCCAGCACUUUCCUGGCACCUCCCAGGCUUGCAGGCCCCGAGGCCCACCUGCCUGGAAGGCCCCACCCACCCCCCUGCUGCCCAUCCCACUUGGCCUAGUGCAGACACUGUGUCCAGAUACGGACACAUGCCACCUGGAAUCAAACUAAGCCCUCCUAGACAGUUGGGGGGACAGAGUCACACAGCAAGGGAUAGAAACCAGGGGGAAAAGAGCAAGGAGACACCCACAGAAGCCAUGAAAGGAGAAAGCAAAGCCAAACCAGAUGAACGACAGGCCUGCAUUCAGCUGAACAGAAGGACUGAAUCCGGACAAGAAGCAGGUCUUUUCCCAUCGCCCCAGAGAGGUCCCUACACCUGGCCUGUUCCCACCGCCCAGCACCCCCUCUCCACCGAGGGCACCCCCAGGUCACAUUGCCCGGGGAGGGCGCUCUGUGUACCCAGACCAAGUAAGACCAGUAGGGGAAAUGUGACAGUAACCUACGAGGCUAAAAAUGUGGCGGACACCCACUAACUGUGGGACUACAGCCAGCGUCACGCUCAGUCCGGAAGCUCUCAGAGGGCCCCCGGAAACAGGGCAGAUACAUACAGAGAUCAAGAAUGUCCCUCCGUAUGAACGUAAAGAGUUCUGAAACGGGAACCGUGCAUGUCUGUUAGGCCUAAGGGGAGCCCCAAGGAUAUGUUUUUCGCCUUCUUAACCAGGGGUCUGAGAGGGGGGGUGUCAGGGCCGCGGGGCUCUGCAUUCCUCAUGGACUGUUUUAGCGUCUGGCUGUUGGGAGCCCGAGCCCCCAGCAGCCCUCCCGUCCCCGUCCCCGGGGACCCUGAGUCGGGCUGGUGCCAGAUUCACUCUUGGGAAACAAGGCAGUGAGCCGCCCUUACUGUCCUCGCCUUGCCCCGCCUCGCCCCGCCUCACCCCUCGUGUCCCCGCCUGUUGGCGGUGGGACUCCGGCGGGGGUCAAGGAACAGAGGCCCAACCGCCCUCUCCGCCUCCCCACGCACCUGGGAGCCGCCUCCCUGGGGCGCUGUCAUCCUGGGAGGCCGCAUGCAGCGGGCGGAGGAGGGGUCCAGCUGGCCUGGACGGUGCCUCCCUAAAGGGCGGGGGUCUGGACCUUGGACGUGGGCGUCACUCGUGACCCGCCCUGGCUUCAGAAAUGCGCACAGUGAGGCUUCUGCAGAAACAGCUCAGCUCCCGCCAGCCUCCUCGCAGCGUGCGCUCUGUCCGGCGGUGGUGGUCGUGGGUCCGGGCUCCGCCUGACGCCUGCCCCGCCCCUUGGCCCCGCCCACAGAGCCCGAAACCGCAGGCCCGGCUGUACUCCCAGGACCUAAAGCAGAUCGACCUGGGUGGGAACCGCGCCUUCCGAAACCGCAUCAUGUUCCGGGAGCGCUACGGCAUCAAGUGGGUCCCCGGGGCCCCGCGGGGGGAGGCGUGGGCCUGGGUCUGAAGCUGGGAUGGCGGGUGCCCGGCCCCCGGCCUGGCGGUGCCGCCUGAGCCUCGAGGGGGCGCGAGUGGGCACGUGAGGAACGAGGGCGGUGGUGUGGGGCACGGGGCGGGGGGCGCGCGGGGAGAGUGGGGACCGGUCUGGACUGGCUCAACAGGCCCCAGAGGGCCCCGCGGGAGGUGAGGGGCUCCAGGCACCAGAGACCAGGCUGGACCCGAGCCCAGGGGAACGAAUGGAACGAAUGCGGGUCGGCGGGGUCAAAAUGACGCCCCAUCUUGAUGUUUUUAGUUAUAUAUUUCUGCUCUUUUAGACAAUUUCCAUCAUUUAAUUUUUAAAAGUGUGACGAACCCCCAAAUUCCAUCACCCAGGUCCAACACUAGCGACACUGUCCUGUCCUGUGUCCUGCGUUCACCACACACUUGACCAGCACAGGUGUUUUACAGAGAACCCAAGAUGUCUGGCCUCACCCCGUCCCUAGGUUCUCAGUAUGCAUUUUAAAAGCAGGGAUUCUUGGGCUUCCCUGGUGGCGCAGUGGUUGAGAGUCCGCCUGCCGAUGCAGGGGACGCGGGUUCGUGCCCUGGUCCGGGAAGGUCCCACAUGCCCCGGAGCGGCUGGGCCCGUGAGCCAUGGCCGCUGAGCCUGCGCGUCCGGAGCCUGUGCUCCGCAACGGGAGAGGCCACAACAGUGAGAGGCCCGCGUACCGCAAAAAAAAAACACACAAAAAAAACUGGAUUCUUGGGAACUCCCUGGCGGUCCAAUGGUUAGGACUCGGCACCUUCACUGCCGAGCGCCAGGGUUUGAACCCUGGUUGGGGAACUAAGAUCACAAAGCUGAGUGGGAUUUUGCGGGGGGGUGGGGACGGGACGGGACACGAAGACACAGGGAUUCUUAUGCGUGCCCUUGACCCUGUUGCUACACCUGAAGCAUUUACUGUAAUCCCCUAAUAUCCAGCCCUAGUGGGAGCCCUAAUAUCGGGUCUCCCAACGCUUCACUCCUUUCUGAACAACCUGUUCCAAUCUUGGUAACUGGGUAUGGCGCAAAGACCCUGCCGGCCGGGGAGAACUUGUGGGUGGGCAGGAGAGCAGGUUCUGCCGUGACAGGUUCGGGGCGUACAUGAAUAGCCAACAGAUCAAGCUCGCUCUGGACCAAGAGAUGCUCUUCAGAGCCCUGACCCCGGAGAGAAGAGGGGUCUGGCCAAGACGGCGCCGGGAGCAUCAAGGCAGGCGUGGGCUGUGCUGCCCGAGUGGUCGCCCUGGACCUCCCACGCUCCUCUCAUGACAAGAUUCCUCUACCGAGGAGACUCCACGGGCCCGAAGCUGGGAAGCCCCAUGCCUGCCUCGGCCCAGAGCGUGGCUGUGUCUCUGCUGACCUCCAAGGCCGGGCCCAGGGCGAGUCAGCCGCCACUGGCCCUCAGAACCUCCAUCACCCCACAGCCCCCAGGCUGCAGGCCUCACGCAGACAGGAGCCCAGGGUGUGAGGAUAAGCCUGGUGGGCCCCACCAACCCACCACCCCUGCCCAUCUGCAGACCUGGGCACAGAAUCAGGGAGGUUUCCUAUAAUGCACCACAUCGUAAAUAUCUUAGGCUUCAGGCCCAGCCACUGCUGUCUGAGAACACAGCCUACUGGAUACACAAAUGAGGAAACACGGCUGUGUCCCAACUUCUGGUUCCAUCUUAAACCUCUGGCUUGUUUGCAGGGCAACUCACUUGUUGCAUUAGAAAACCAGAACGCCAGGAUGGGGUGAGGCCAUGGACACUGGGAAAGAGGCCGGUUAGGUGAGACAGAAGACACCUAUGAGAGAAAGAACUAUAUCUAAAUGUAAAACUUUCAUUCUGCAAAAGACACUGUUAAAAGAAUGAAAAAGCUACAGAGUGGGAGAAAAUAUUUGCCAAUCAUAUAUCUAAUUAAGGACUCAGGCAGAAUAAGAACCAAAGUGCUGGUAAGGAUGUGAAGCAACAGGAACUCUCACCCAGCACUGGUGGGGAUGCAAAUGGUGUAGCCACUGUGGGGGACAGUUGGGUGGUUUCUUACAAAACUACACAUAUUGGGCUUCCCUGGUGGCGCAGUGGUUAAGAAUCCACCUGCCAAUGCAGCGGACACGGGUUCCAUCCCUGGCCCAGGAAGAUCCCACAUGCCGCGGAGCAACUAAGCCUGUGCACCACAACUACUGAUCCUGCACUCUAGAGCCCACGAGCCACAACUACUGAAGCCCGUGUGCUCUAGGGCCCACGUGCUGCAGCAAUGAAGACCCAAUGCAGUCAAAAAAACCCCACUACAUAUACUCUCACCAUGUGAUCAGCAAUGAUGCUCCUUGGUAUUUACCCAAAUGAGCUGAAAACUUAAACCCACAUAAAACCUGCAUGCAAUAUUCACUGCUCUGUUCGUGAUCGUUAAAAACUGGAAGCAACCAAGAUCAUCUUCAUCGAGGGAAUGGAUAAACUGGGGGAUUCCAUGAAAUGGACUUUAAUUCAGGAACACAAAGGAAGAAGCUAUUGAUUCACUCAACAGCAUGGAUGAGUCUUAGACAUAUUUUGCCAAGUGAAGGAAUCCAGACCCACAUGUGAUUCCACUCACAGGGCGUUCUGGAAAAAGCACAGCCCCGGGAGGGGGAGGGUCAGCGGCCGCCAGGGCUAACGGGGUGGGAUCUUAGGCCGGAGCAUGGAUGCGGCGGCCUCGCCCGUGUGUGAAAACCCAAGGGGCUGUACAUCCCCGAGACUGAACUGUGAUGUGUGCCAACAGAAAAAAUAAAGAAAAUAAAAACUUGUC
This is an RNA transcript of Globicephala melas (long-finned pilot whale), 7613 nucleotides long. It is a transcript of the gene named collagen alpha-1(I) chain-like, with no coding region annotated. NCBI's taxonomy places the organism in Eukaryota, Metazoa, Chordata, Mammalia, Artiodactyla, Delphinidae. The record is from RefSeq and is a predicted model, not a curated record.